RNAcentral lists this ribosomal RNA (256 nucleotides) under Chloropicon mariensis. RNAcentral describes it as "partial Bacterial large subunit ribosomal RNA". It matches the Rfam family "Bacterial large subunit ribosomal RNA", at positions 1 to 254 of the family's 2925-position model. The record is from RNAcentral. Lineage: Eukaryota; Viridiplantae; Chlorophyta; Chloropicophyceae; Chloropicales; Chloropicaceae.
AGUUGUGUAGUGCGAUCGGUGGAUGCCUUGGCACCAAGAGCCGAUGAAGGACGUUGUGACCUGCGAUAAGCCCUGGGGAGUUGGUGAGCGAGCUGUGAUCCGGGGGUGUCCGAAUGGGGAAACCUGGAAUGUCCGGAGUAGUGUCCGGUGGCCCUGCCCUGAAUGUAUAGGGGUGUGGGUGGUAACGCGGGGAAGUGAAACAUCUUAGUACCCGUAGGAAGAGAAAACAAGUGUGAUUCCGUGAGUAGUGGCGAGC